This 896-nucleotide long non-coding RNA is filed under the name Homo sapiens (human). RNAcentral's name for it is "non-protein coding LINC01859:17". Lineage: Eukaryota; Metazoa; Chordata; Mammalia; Primates; Hominidae. The record is from RNAcentral.
CAUCUAUCGCCUAAGUGAUGUGACUCUUUUUCUGCCUGCAGCCUGCACAUAGAGAAGAUUGUGACAUAUAGCUCUGCCCAGUAACCAGGUGAUGUGUCUUUUCUGGCAGGUCUUUUCCCACAGGGAGCAUUGUGAAACAUCACUGGGCUCAGCCACCAGGUUAUGUGACUCUUCUGCCUGUGCCCUGCUUCCAGAAAAUAUUGUGACAUUCCUCAUACAGCAUCCAGGUGAUGUGACUCUUCUGCUCAUUUUCUACUUACAGGAGACAUGCCCAAAAAAGGGAUUGUGGCAUAUCUCUGAGCCCAGCACCCAAAUGUUGUGACUCUCCUGCCUGAGCUGUGCCUAGAGAAAAUAUUAUAAUAUGUCACCGGACCCUGCAUGCAAGUGAUCCAAUUCUCCAGUCUGGGCCUUGCCCAUAGAGGAGAUUGAGACAUAUUCCAGGUGAAGAAUUCAGGUCAUGCAAAUGGAGGCGGAUUUUGACAUAUCAUAAAGCCAACAUAAUACACAGUCUGCAGGUGGAAUUGGGACUCUCAUGCAUGGAUCCAGUUCAUCAUUGAUACUGUGACUCAUGUACUUGGAUGCAACUCACAGGAGGUGUUGACGCUUUUUACCUGAAGCUGGGACAUGUGUGGAAUUGUGAAUCCUAGCCCUAGAUCUUCCCACAGGUCAUGCAAAUGGAGGGGGAUUGUUACAUAUCAUAGGGCCAACACAAAAAUAAUGUAAAACUCCUGCCUGAGCCAUGCCCAUAGAAGGCAUUGUGACAUAUCACCCGUCACAGCACUCAGGUGGGAUUUUGACAUAUAACUGCACCCAGCACACAGGUGAAGUAUCUCGUAUGCUCAUCCUGCCAAAAGUUAUGAGUGUCACCCUCACACAUGGACAGAGACCUCUGGUUA